GACGAACGCUGGCGGCGUGCUUAACACAUGCAAGUCGAACGGAAAGGCCUUGUUUGCCUUGUACUCUAGUGGUGAACGGGUGACUAACACGUGGGUGAUCUGCCCUUCAUCUCGGGCUAAGCCUGGGAUACUCGUUCUAAUACCGGACUGGUUCCCUUUUUGUCUUGAUGGUUGUACCGUUUUUUCGGUGUAGGUUGAUCUCGCGGCCUAUUAGCCUGUUGGUGUGGUAAUGGGUUACCGAGGCGGUGACGGGUAGCCGGCCGGAGAGGGUGGACGGCAGCAAUGGGACAGAGAUACGGCCCAGACAGCAACGGGGGGCAGCAGAGGGGAAGAGUGAACAAGGGGCGGAAGCCUGAUGCAGCGAAGCAGCGUGGGGGAUGACGGACUUCGGGUUGUAAGCGCGGUACGCUAGGGACGAAGCGUGUUGUGACGGUACCUAGAUAAGAAGCACCGGCUAACUACGUG
Molecule: ribosomal RNA, 465 nt
Filed under: uncultured bacterium
Lineage: Bacteria
Description: partial 16S ribosomal RNA
Rfam family: Bacterial small subunit ribosomal RNA
Source: RNAcentral